RNAcentral lists this ribosomal RNA (434 nucleotides) under uncultured bacterium. Its description in RNAcentral is "partial 16S ribosomal RNA". It matches the Rfam family "Bacterial small subunit ribosomal RNA", at positions 27 to 507 of the family's 1533-position model. The record is from RNAcentral.
GAACGAACGCUGGCGGCAUGCCUAACACAUGCAGGUCGAACGAGACCUUCGGGUCUAGUGGCGCACGGGUGCGUAACGCGUGGGAACCUGCCCUUAGGUUCGGAAUAACUCCCCGAAAGGGGUGCUAAUACCGGAUAAUGUCUUCGGACCAAAGAUUUAUCGCCUUUGGAUGGGCCCGCGUUGGAUUAGCUAGUUGGUAGGGUAAAAGCCUACCAAGGCGACGAUCCAUAGCUGGUCUGAGAGGAUGAUCAGCCACACUGGGACUGAGACACGGCCCAGACUCCUACGGGAGGCAGCAGUGGGGAAUAUUGGACAAUGGGCGAAAGCCUGAUCCAGCAAUGCCGCGUGAGUGAUGAAGGCCUUAGGGUUGUAAAGCUCUUUUACCCGGGAUGAUAAUGACAGUACCGGGAGAAUAAGCUCCGGCUAACUCCGUG